This is a long non-coding RNA of Chinchilla lanigera (long-tailed chinchilla), 1141 nucleotides long. RefSeq lists it as uncharacterized. NCBI's taxonomy places the organism in Eukaryota, Metazoa, Chordata, Mammalia, Rodentia, Chinchillidae. The record is from RefSeq and is a predicted model, not a curated record. The transcript has 2 exons.
AGAGCUCGAGAGUCUCACGAGGGUGGAAGCUGUGGAGAUGACAGGAAACAGCAUCACCUAACUGCAUCAGAAUGAGCCCUGCCUGUGGAACAGGCAUUUUCAGAAGAGAAUCCCAGAGUCAGCAACGCAGACCCGGCGGAGGGGACAGAGCUGCUGCGUGCAGGACAGAAGCUCCAGGGAGGCACAGAAACCGUGGUGACGUCAAUGAGCAGCUGAAAUCAGCCUCGACAUCAGCAAAAGUCCACAUUCCUAGGUCUUGUCUGUGUGAUCCUCUGAAGCUUAUCACUCACCCCACCCUCCUUUGAUGUUAAUUCCUUUAGGAAUGAGGGUGGGAAAGGCUAAUGUUUGUGGUUGAAGGGUGGAAACCAGUCCGUUUAAUUUAAAUACGAUGGCUUAUUGCGUGAGCCAGGGUACAGUAACUGGCAACUCUGAAGUCAUCAUCAUCAUCUUCACCAACAUCACCGCCCUUUAAAAAGCAACUCCUAUGGGCACGGCUUAAGAAAUACGGCACACUAACAUUAAUUUUCAUUAGUUUAUAAGUGAGGAAAUGACAACUCCGAGAGGUUGAGUAACCUGAGAAAGAUCAUAGGAAGAAAGAAAAUCUAAGUUUGAACUCCUCAGCCAUUAAUGCAUACAUAACUGGUAAAUGUAAAUUCUGGUUCAACAGGUCUGCAACAAGGUUCCCAUCUAUGCCCGCGCCUGGAUGUCCGCUGACCCACUUUCAAAAGGAGCAAAGUAUUGUAAAGCAUUUGAACGUGCAACUUGACACCUCAUACUCUGAAACAGCGAAAUUACAUGUUUGUUCCAGGCUGGAGGUGUAGCUCAGGGAUGUUCAGGGCUCUGGGUUUGACCGUCAGCACUACUAAAAAUUAAAAAGUCACAAGAAAUAAAGAAGUCUAUUCUGACCAUAUGCAGGGCCUUAUAGGGUUAUGCUGUCUUACAGACAAGCCAUGUGAAAUUUUAAAGUGCUUGAAAUACACAAAACCCCAGGUCAUCUCUUGAAAAAAACAAACAGAGAUAAUGCUGGGAGACUAUUAGAAGCUCAUCCCUGUACUUCCGUAGCUGAAAAUUAGCUGCUGUCCAUUUUUAAAAUCCAUGCAAGUGUCACCAACUCCUUGUAAUAAACUAUACCUACAAAUGA